UGUGGUUCAUGACUGGGGUGAAGUCGUAACAAGGUAGCGCUAGGGGAACCUGGCGCUGGAUCACCUCCUUA
Molecule: ribosomal RNA, 71 nt
Filed under: Vibrio alginolyticus
Lineage: Bacteria; Pseudomonadati; Pseudomonadota; Gammaproteobacteria; Vibrionales; Vibrionaceae
Also listed under: 19 other names
Description: partial 16S ribosomal RNA
Rfam family: Bacterial small subunit ribosomal RNA
Source: RNAcentral